CGCGUAGGUGGUAGUGCAAGUCUGGGGUGGAAUCCCAGGGCUUAACCCUGGAACUGCCUUGGAAACUGUAUUACUUGAGUCAGUGAGGGGAGGGUAGAAUUCCUGGUGUAGCGGUGAAAUGCGUAGAUAUCAGGAGGAAGGCCUGUGGCGAAGGCGGCCCUCUGGCGCUGAACUGACACUGAGGCGCGAAAGCGUGGGGAGCAAACAGGAUUAGAUACCCUGGUAGUCCACGCCCUAAACGGUGGGUACUAGGUGUAGGGCUCGUAAGGGUUCUGUGCCGAAGCGAAAGCAUUAAGUACCUCGCCUGGGGAGUACGGCCGCAAGGUUAGAA
This 331-nucleotide ribosomal RNA is filed under the name uncultured bacterium. RNAcentral describes it as "bacterial SSU rRNA". It matches the Rfam family "Bacterial small subunit ribosomal RNA", at positions 568 to 899 of the family's 1533-position model. The record is from RNAcentral.